Molecule: ribosomal RNA, 274 nt
Filed under: uncultured bacterium
Lineage: Bacteria
Description: partial 16S ribosomal RNA
Rfam family: Bacterial small subunit ribosomal RNA
Source: RNAcentral
CUACGGAGGUUGCAAGCGUUACUCGGAAUUACUGGGCGUAAAGGACGCGUAGGCUGGUUUGCAAGUCAGGGGUGAAAGCCUACAGCUUAACUGUAGAACUGCUCUUGAAACUGCUUACCUAGAGUAUGGGAGAGGUGAAAGGAAUUAGUGGUGUAGGGGUAAAAUCCGUAGAGAUCACUAGGAAUACCGAUUGCGAAGGCGUUUCACUGGAACAUUACUGACGCUGAGGCGUGAAAGCGUGGGGAGCAAACAGGAUUAGAAACCCUAGUAGUCC